UACGGGGGGAGCAAGCGUUGUUCGGAUUUACUGGGCGUAAAGAGCUCGUAGGUGGUUUGUCGCGUUGUUCGUGAAAACUCACAGCUCAACUGUGGGCGUGCGGGCGAUACGGGCAGACUUGAGUUCGGCAGGGGAGACUGGAAUUCCUGGUGUAGCGGUGAAAUGCGCAGAUAUCAGGAGGAACACCGGUGGCGAAGGCGGGUCUCUGGGCCGAUACUGACGCUGAGGAGCGAAAGCGUGGGGAGCGAACAGG
This 253-nucleotide ribosomal RNA is filed under the name uncultured bacterium. RNAcentral describes it as "partial 16S ribosomal RNA". It matches the Rfam family "Bacterial small subunit ribosomal RNA", at positions 524 to 776 of the family's 1533-position model. The record is from RNAcentral.